RNAcentral lists this transfer RNA (72 nucleotides) under Mycobacterium sp. ACS1612. It matches the Rfam family "tRNA". From Rfam's summary of the family: Transfer RNA (tRNA) molecules are approximately 80 nucleotides in length. Their secondary structure includes four short double-helical elements and three loops (D, anti-codon, and T loops). The record is from Rfam by way of RNAcentral. Lineage: Bacteria; Bacillati; Actinomycetota; Actinomycetes; Mycobacteriales; Mycobacteriaceae.
ACCCCUGUAGUUCAACGGAUAGAGCGCCAGUUUACGGAGCUGGAGGUGGGAGUUCGAUUCUUCCCAGGGGUA